UAUUGGUCAAUGGCCGGAAGGCUGAACCGGCCAAGCCGCGUGAGGGAGGAAGGCGCAGAGCGUCGCAGACCUCUUUUGCCGGGGGACAAAAGGCCGGACGUGUCCGGUCCUGAGGGUACCCGGAGAAAAAGCAUCGGCUAACUCCGUGCCAGCAGCCGCGGUAAUACGGGGGAUGCAAGCGUUAUCCGGAUUUAUUGGGUUUAAAGGGUGCGUAGGCUGUGAGGUAAGUCAGCGGUGAAAUGCCCCCGCUCAACGGGGUGAAGUGCCAUUGAUACUGCCUUGCUGGAAUGCGGAUGCCGUGGGUGGAAUGUGUGGUGUAGCGGUGAAAUGCAUAGAUAUCACACAGAACACCGAUUGCGAAGGCAUCUCACGAAUCCGCGAUUGACGCUGAUGCACGAAAGCGUGGGUAUCAAACAG
Molecule: ribosomal RNA, 417 nt
Filed under: uncultured bacterium
Lineage: Bacteria
Description: bacterial SSU rRNA
Rfam family: Bacterial small subunit ribosomal RNA
Source: RNAcentral